Molecule: ribosomal RNA, 388 nt
Filed under: uncultured bacterium
Lineage: Bacteria
Description: bacterial SSU rRNA
Rfam family: Bacterial small subunit ribosomal RNA
Source: RNAcentral
GACGAACGCUGGCGGCGUGCUUAACACAUGCAAGUCGAGCGGUAAGGCCCUUUCGGGGGUACACGAGCGGCGAACGGGUGAGUAACACGUGGGCGACCUGCCUUUAGCUCUGGGAUAAGCCUGGGAAACCGGGUCUAAUACCGGAUAUGACUCCGCGGCGCAUGUUGUGGGGUGGAAAGCCUUGUGCGGCUGGAGAUGGGCCCGCGGCCUAUCAGCUUGUUGGUGGGGUGAUGGCCUACCAAGGCGACGACGGGUAGCCGGCCUGAGAGGGCGACCGGCCACACUGGGACUGAGACACGGCCCAGACUCCUACGGGAGGCAGCAGUGGGGAAUCUUGCGCAAUGGGCGAAAGCCUGACGCAGCGACGCCGCGUGAGGGAUGACGGCCU